RNAcentral lists this ribosomal RNA (764 nucleotides) under uncultured bacterium. RNAcentral describes it as "bacterial SSU rRNA". It matches the Rfam family "Bacterial small subunit ribosomal RNA", at positions 605 to 1372 of the family's 1533-position model. The record is from RNAcentral.
CGGCUCAACCGUUGAACUGCCGUUGAAACUGGGCGCCUUGGAUGCGGUCGAGGCCGGCGGAAUGCGUGGUGUAGCGGUGAAAUGCUUAGAUAUCACGCAGAACGCCAAUUGCGAAGGCAGCUGGCCGGGCCGCAAUCGACGCUGAGGCACGAAAGCGUGGGGAUCAAACAGGAUUAGAUACCCUGGUAGUCCACGCCGUAAACGAUGAUGGCUAGCUGUUGGCGAUACACAGUCAGCGGCUGAGCGAAAGCGGUAAGCCAUCCACCUGGGGAGUACGGUCGCAAGAUUGAAACUCAAAGGAAUUGACGGGGGCCCGCACAAGCGGAGGAACAUGUGGUUUAAUUCGAUGAUACGCGAGGAACCUUACCUGGGCUAGAACGCUUCUGGAGUGUACGGGAAACUGUACAGCCCUUCGGGGCCGGGAGCGAGGUGCUGCAUGGUUGUCGUCAGCUCGUGCCGUGAGGUGUCGGGUUAAGUCCCAUAACGAGCGCAACCCCUACUGCUAGUUGCCAGCGCGUAAAGGCGGGAACUCUAGCGGGACUGCCGGCGUAAGCCGAGAGGAGGGUGGGGAUGACGUCAAAUCAGCACGGCCCUUACGUCCAGGGCUACACACGUGUUACAAUGGCCGGUACAGAGGGCAGCUACCUGGCAACAGGAUGCGAAUCUCGAAAGCCGGUCCCAGUUCGGAUUGGGGUCUGCAACCCGACCCCAUGAAGUUGGAUUCGCUAGUAAUCGCGCAUCAGCCACGGCGCGGUGAAUACGUU